UUGAAUUCAGGUAAGGGUGAGACUAUCUCUCAUUAAUAGAUAAUAUGUAAUUUCGGAAAAUUGACCUAAUUGCUUAACCUUGGGGAUAAAAUUGAGGGUUAGGGUUUGAUGAUGAUUCUGAGGGGAAUGGGUAAUGAAUCAUGUUAAUUUUGUUGUAAUGUGAUGUUCAGAAUGAAAUCUUAAUCUAUACUGUUGCUGUGAUCACAAAUUGAUUGAAAAUAUAAUUGAUUGGAUGAAUUGAUGAAGUUUUGUAUGAUGGUGGAAUGAUCUGUAUUGUUGUUGUUGAUGUCUGUUUGUGUUUCCUUUAGAUGCCUAGUUGUGUAUAGGACCUGUAAACAUCUGCUGGAAAACGUUUUGGGCGAUCAGGGGAUUAAAAUUGGGUUUUGGAGUGGGAAAGGGUCUGAAACCCGUAGGUUUUGCACAGUCCAGAUGCAUAGUC
Molecule: long non-coding RNA, 439 nt
Filed under: Medicago truncatula (barrel medic)
Lineage: Eukaryota; Viridiplantae; Streptophyta; Magnoliopsida; Fabales; Fabaceae
Description: long non-coding RNA (MTRU_LNC007008)
Source: RNAcentral